UACGUAGGGGGCCAGCGUUGUCCGAAGUUACUGGGCGUAAAGAGCGUGUAGGCGGGUCUUUAAGUGAGAGGUGAAAGGUUCAGGGGCUCAACCCGAACACUGCCUUUCAUACUGGGGACCUUGAGGGCGGGAGAGGCGAGUGGAAUGGUCGGUGUAGCGGUGAAAUGCGUAGAUAUCGAUCGGAACACCCAUGGCGAAGGCAGCUCGCUGGCCCGCAUCUGACGCUGAGAACGCGAAAGCGUGGGGAGCAAACAGG
This 256-nucleotide ribosomal RNA is filed under the name uncultured bacterium. RNAcentral describes it as "partial 16S ribosomal RNA". It matches the Rfam family "Bacterial small subunit ribosomal RNA", at positions 524 to 776 of the family's 1533-position model. The record is from RNAcentral.